This 321-nucleotide ribosomal RNA is filed under the name uncultured bacterium. RNAcentral describes it as "bacterial SSU rRNA". It matches the Rfam family "Bacterial small subunit ribosomal RNA", at positions 28 to 361 of the family's 1533-position model. The record is from RNAcentral.
GACGAACGCUGGCGGCGUGCCUAAAACAUGCAAGUCGAACGAGGGGGCAACCCCUAGUGGCGAACGGCGGAGUAAGACAUGAACAACGUGCCCUGAAGUCCGGGACAAACGCAGAAAUGCCAUAAAUACCGGAUGUGGCCGAGCCUCGGCAUCGUGGCUCGAUUAAAGGUUUUUCGCUUCAGGAGCGGUUCAUGGCCUAUCAGGUAGUUGGUGGGGUAACGGCCUACCAAAGCCGACGACAGGAGCGGGUCUGAGAGGAUGAUCCGCCCCGAGUGGGACUGAGACACGGCCCACACACCUACGGGUGGCAGCAGUUGGGAA